CAUUAAGAAGCUAAAUAGGAACAUAGCGUCAGCCUUUUAAGCUGAAGAUUGGUGACUUCCUACCACCCUUAAUGG
Molecule: transfer RNA, 75 nt
Filed under: Crystallogobius linearis (crystal goby)
Lineage: Eukaryota; Metazoa; Chordata; Actinopteri; Gobiiformes; Gobiidae
Description: tRNA-Lys
Rfam family: tRNA
About the family: Transfer RNA (tRNA) molecules are approximately 80 nucleotides in length. Their secondary structure includes four short double-helical elements and three loops (D, anti-codon, and T loops). Further hydrogen bonds mediate the characteristic L-shaped molecular structure. tRNAs have two regions of fundamental functional importance: the anti-codon, which is responsible for specific mRNA codon recognition, and the 3' end, to which the tRNAs corresponding amino acid is attached (by aminoacyl-tRNA synthetases). tRNAs cope with the degeneracy of the genetic code in two manners: having more than one tRNA (with a specific anti-codon) for a particular amino acid; and 'wobble' base-pairing, i.e. permitting non-standard base-pairing at the 3rd anti-codon position.
Source: RNAcentral